UGUAAAAUUUUAAAGGUCGAACAGACCUAAUAUUUUAGCUUCUACACCAAAAAUUAAUUUUAAUCCAACAUCGAGGUCGCAAUCUCUUUUUUUAAUAUGAACUUUCUAAAAAAAUUACGCUGUUAUCCCUAAGGUAAUUUUAUCUUAUAAUCAAAAUUAUUGGRUCAUUUAUUCAUAAAUUAAUGUAUAAAAAUAAAAAAAGUUCAAUAAAUUUUUCAAUCACCCCAAUUAAAUUUUUAAAUAAACUAAAUAUAUUAAUGCUAAAAAAAUUUUUUUAUUUAAAAAUUAAACUCUAUAGGGUCUUCUCGUCUUUUAAUGAUAAUUAAGCUUUUUAACUUAAAAAUAAAAUUCUAAUAAAAUUCAACAGAGACAGUUAUUUUCUUAUCCAACCCUUCAUUCCAGUUCUUAAUUAAAGAACUAAUGAUUAUGCUACCUUAGCACGGUCAAAAUACCACGGCCAUUUAAAAAUUCAGGGGGCAGGCUAGACCUUAAAUUAUUACACAAAAGGAC
RNAcentral lists this ribosomal RNA (510 nucleotides) under Chrysolina varians. RNAcentral describes it as "16S ribosomal RNA". The record is from RNAcentral. Lineage: Eukaryota; Metazoa; Arthropoda; Insecta; Coleoptera; Chrysomelidae.